This 118-nucleotide ribosomal RNA is filed under the name uncultured bacterium. Its description in RNAcentral is "partial 16S ribosomal RNA". It matches the Rfam family "Bacterial small subunit ribosomal RNA", at positions 339 to 458 of the family's 1533-position model. The record is from RNAcentral.
AUACGGGAGGCAGCAGUGAGGAAUUUUCCGCAAUGGGCGAAAGCCUGACGGAGCAAUACCGCGUGGAGGAGGAAGGCCCGUGGGUGGUAAACUCAAAUUCAGAGAAGAACACAAGGAC